AACCCGCUAGAAGCCGGAGAGCAGACACGGGUUUUUUUUUUUUUUUCCUAGAGGAUCUCCUCCAAGAUUAAAGCUAGUCCUAAGAGCAACCGAAUUGCUGUGACUGACUUUCACGGGACUGUAAAGAGAGAUCGGCUCAAAAGUCCAAAGAGAAAUGAGGUGUCCGGUAUGGAAGUGCAUCUCAGUCAACCGCCAGCUCCUUUUGCCGAGGCUGGAAAUGGUUUUAACAGGCGGUAAAAUUUCAUCUUGUGGUGUCAAAUUGGGGUCAGUUUGGGGUUAGCGCUCUCAGUGUCCGAGCAGGAGCUGUCCAGCUGUGUGGGGAUUCAUUAAGGGCAAAAGAUCCGUUUCAAGAAAAACAAUACAAAGACAAUCAGAGGGCUAAAGAUCCUCUUCAAAUCGCAUUUUACAAGUGCACCAGAACAAAUAUGGAUGCUGAAACCUAUUCCCUUCAAACUCCCAAAUCGGCUUCUUAGCUCUCGGAGGGAGCAAGAGAGAAAAUCCUCUAAAAGUUAAGAAGAGUCUGUUUUCAAUCAGCCUUUCCGAAGUGUGGCAUCUUAGUCCUUUGCUGGCUUUGAGACAUGCCUCUCUUGCUUGCUUGUUACGUCUCUACCUCCCUCCCUCUCUCUCUUUUUCCACAGCCUUGCAAAAGUGGAUGGUACAACAGGUAAUAUUUCAGAUUUCAAGAAUAAAUCCCACCGGAGACCUCAAACGGCUGUUUUGCAUGCGCGUGUGUUCCUAUCACAAGAUUUAAUGCAAAUAGAAAGUUUUUAGGGGGAAACAAGCCAUGCUUGCGAGAAAUCCUAUUGUACUCUGUAGGAAAUUUUGAGCUCCCCUUGUUGGUGAUCCUCCGGUCCGAUGGGUAAUUUAGGCUAGAUUUACUUUCCGGUUCUUAGCAGUUGUGGAAAGCACCUAUUGCUAAUCUGGUUUAUUAAAUUCGCAUGGUUUAAAUCCUCUUAACGUCCCUACAUCUGUUAGGACAAUUGACUCCUUGCUACAGGGACAAAUAACUUGAACCUUAAUCUUGUUUGUAACUUUAUUCAAUGUUUGUUUGUCUGCUGAGUUCAAGUAUUUUGGAGGAUGCCAUUGUAUUCAUUAACAUGUAGACUGCAUUUGAAAGCAAAACUCCUCUUAGACGGGUCAGGGAUAUCAUGGAACACAGUGAAAAAUUUAGCAUAUUCGAACUGGCUUUUUAUCUCGAACUAUCAUUCUAGCAAAUGUGUCAUAAUGAAUGAAGAAAGCAAUCUGCCUGUUAAAAUAUGGACGCUGGACAUCACCGUGACACCGUAGUGAAAUUCAUGUGAAUUUUACUUUUUGUUUUGCUUGCAAGGCGAAGUGUGGAGUUUAACUAGUACCUUUUUCUUUUUAUAAUCAGGAUUGUGCCACAGUUAAAUUCCUACCCCCAAACCCGCUCUUUACCACACUCUCCUUUGCCCUUUCGGUUGCUUUUUACAACUUCAGUCACUUUUUAUUCAUCUCAGCACUCUUUGAUUUGCCUCUGACUUCCCGCAGCUGCAAGACUUUCGAGGUCCCAUCUCGGGUGCCCCUGUGAAAUCAUGCACGUUUUGGCUUUUGCAGAUCCCUGGGUUCAUUUAGCUCCUCACCCUGAUCUGUCUGCCAGUGGUGUACUUCGCUUUUCAGUAACGUAUUAUUAUUUGUCGAAAAUCUUUCUAGUCCUGAAAGUCAAUGGUAGCCCAUCACGGUGAACUUUUCUUGACCUCGACUGCGGUAUGACUGAGAUGUUGGGAGCUGGAUUAGGAGGAGGUUCAUUUACUUACCUGUUACUUCGCCUUUUACUCUUUCUUCCACCCCUUUGCCCUCUGUUUUCUUUUAGAGGGAAAAACCCCAAUCCCGCACGAAACAAGAACGAUCCGGGUUCGUCCUCCCCUGCCGACCCCCUUUCUCCCCUCGCCGCCGGGACGCAGGGCUGUAACCCGGCGCUGGCGGGCUGCCCCGGCGGGCGCUGCCGCGGCCCCGAGCGGCGCUGCCAUCAGCAGCCCUCUAGCGCUAUCUGGCGGGGCUCCAAUACGAGCCCGGAGCCGCGCAGGGCCCGGCCCUCCGCCGCCGCCGCCGCCGGGGCCGUGGGGCCGGGCACGGGGCUCGCUCCGCGGCCGCAGGGCCCUCGUCCCCGGCUCAGCUGCUCCCGCGGGACGUUGAUGAGGCCCAGUCCCGGGUUCCACCCCUGAGGGGCGAAACCGGCCGUGGGAAGGGGCACAGAGAUGAAGCCCGUCGCGUUUGUCCGGCUUAUGUCAUUCGGGUGGUGUGAAGCACUAAAGUCAGAGGAGAUGAGAUUUUUUUUUUUUUUUUAAUUAUGUUAUUUAGGCUGGAAUGUUUGUGAAAGUGGAAUGUUUGUAAAAGUGGAGACCAUAAACAGUCGACAUUUAUUUCCAUCACACACCAGAGGGGGAAAAAAAAAAAAGAAAAUAAGAAAACAACCACAAACCUGUCAGGGCUUCCCACUAAUACUGUUUGCACAGGGCAGUAAAAAAUCUAGUUUGCAAUUGUUCUAAGAAUCCCGAAGUAUGAAAAAAUUUUAAUCUUUCCAGUAUAACAUGGUAACCAAAAGGACAGUUAAGGCAAAGUAAAUGGCUUUAGUGUGAUACCAGAGAAUCCGCAAAGGCUUCAAAUUCUCCUCAAGCUCACUCAAAAUAUCUCCUUUUGUUCUCCAGCUGCCUAUAAAACUCCAGAAAAGAAGUGCUCUCAUUUUUACACUGGAGUUCUCGGUCCGGAGAGAACAAUAUACUCCUACCUCUUUUGAAAUGAUCCGGAGGCUCUCAUAGCACACAGGCAAUCACUCGAAGCACGAAUUUCCUUUUUUUUCUUUUUUUUUUUUCCCAAGAACUGCUCGGCCCAUUGUUUGAAGUGGGAUUCAGUGCAGAGCCCAAAGAGAAAAGGAAAAAAAAAAAAAUCCUGAGAGCCCGGUUUGGUAUUGCACAGAGAUAGAGCUGACAAAAUAUUAUAGCGUGUUUCCUAGAAGUACAUGGUGAGAGCCGGCAGUGUGUUCCCGAAAAGAGGUUGCUCUUUAUUUCCACCACCACCCCCCUCAAGAUUGUGAUCGUCUUUGUAUGUCUUUCUUUUGAUCCCACAAAAAGAAUGCAAUACACAUACAUGUGUUUGCUCUCCAUACAAGAAAUGCCAUACAAUGGAAUAUGUGGCCAGUCAGUUCUCAUAAUGCUUAGUUUUGCUGUAAUUAAUUGAAAACAGUUAUUAGGUCGUCAUUGGCAAUAGCGUAAAUAAUUGCAGCAGAUUUUUACUUAAAAUUGACCGGUCAUAGAGUGAUAGAUCGAUUCGAGGUAUAAAAAUGAUGUAUCAAAACAUCAAUGUCGAUUAUUUGAAAUAUUGUAGUCGAAUCUUUUUAUUGCUUCAUCGGUUAAGUGUCUGAAAGUGCUGUGUUCCAACAUAUAUUUAUGUUGUCAAUACUGUCAAAACUGUCAGUUUUAUUACAGUGGAUUUGUAAUACAUUUCGGAUUUGCUCAUUUGCAUAAAAUGUCCACCUCAGAUACCCCUCCUUUUCUCCAUCUCUGGAAAUCUGUGUCAGUUUAAUGAAAGGAUUCAAGACUCAUACCUGAAGAGGGGAGAAAAAAAAGAAAAAGGAAAGGAGAAAAAUAAAAGGAGGUGUUGCUCCAUUAUGUCCAAUUUUAACAUCCGUUUGGAAAGCUUGGGCUAUUUCUGACUCGCCAAAAGAGGGAAUUCCUCCCCCCUUCCCCCUCCCUCCCCCGGCCCCGCUUAUUUCCCCAGUAGAAUUUAAACACUUUUCUACUCUCACACCUAGAUUAAACCAUCCAGAAGAAUUGGGAAAUUGUACAGGGUUACAGUGACGAGACAAAGCACACCUGUGAAUGCUGCAACCCUCCCAAAGAGAGCAACAACCCCCUGAACCACGCACACACGUGCAGGGGUUUGAAUCCUGCUAGAAAGAAGGAGACAAAAGGAGCAAUAAAAUAAAUAUGUGUGUGAUCCUUUCCUAACGGUUUGGAGCCCAAAGGAAAAAAGCAAACUGUAAGCAGUGUUGGGCAUUUGAUGCCCCCCCGCCCCUAUUUUAUCAGGGUCUGAUCGAUGUGAUUAUUCCUUUUAACUGUAAGCAGUGAUUUUUUAUUAGCAUGAUCUCAGGCAACUCUCUAAUUUUCUCCAAGAGCCCAGCUGAGGGAUAGAGAAACUCAGGAAUAAAUAAAUAAGUCCAUUUGCACAAUAAAGUCUCUUCGAUAGAACAAAGAGUGAAAUUAGGCAAGUAACUUUAUUUCCCACCCCUUUCCGAGGAUGAAGAUGUUUAAAGGUGUUGGUGAGAUGGACCUGAGGGGUAUGUGGGUUGGUUUCUUUCCUCUUCCCCCUUCCCGCAAUCCCCCCUCCCCACCCCCCCACCCCUUCCCCCCGGGUUAUCUGUGUUUAAAUAGAUGCUGAAGAGAUUUCUGAGUUCACGGGAAAGAAGGAAGGUUAGUUAAGGGAAUGGCAGCGCGCCUGGCAGGUAUUUUAAUGACUGUCCCUUUCUUUGAACACUUUCAAUUUCUCUGCUUCUUGUACAGAAUAUGUUUCCCAAACCAAGUAUGAUUUCUGUUGUAACUCCCGUGUGUGAUUGUGAUCCCUUCUGAGGUAAAUUGAGAAGUACGCUGCGCAAAAGGAGGAAAUCGCCCCUGGGGUGCUUUGUUUACUUUGGUUUGUAAAAUCCUGCUAGGGGAUGGUUUCCUCAGUGUGUGGCAAGUGUUUCUUCAAGAAAUUCAUCAGCCCUUCUACAAUUACUUCGAGCUCCGAGGGAAGAAAGGUGCCAUCACUUUCUCACAUCCCAAGGUGUUGCAGGGGGGAGAGAAGAAAAGGCUGGAGCAUUUAAUUAUAAUGGGGAGGGGGGGUGGGGGGUGGGGAGAGCGGAGGCUGCAGAAAGGCGUCCCAAGCCUGUACCUGUAAAAAAAAAAAAAAAACCUGCAAGGGUAUACUUGGGAAGCGUGUGCCAUUUAGACAUGGGGAAAAGUACCCCGUCUUGUGCAGUAAUUAGUCUGAACAAUAAACAUAAUUGGAACAAAAUCA
This is a long non-coding RNA of Vidua macroura (Pin-tailed whydah), 5013 nucleotides long. RefSeq lists it as uncharacterized. The record is from RefSeq and is a predicted model, not a curated record. The transcript has 2 exons. Lineage: Eukaryota; Metazoa; Chordata; Aves; Passeriformes; Viduidae.